UGUAAAUUUGGAGAUUCUGAUAAAAUAACUCAUACACCCCUCUCCUUCAACAUUUAUGAAUGUUUUAUUUUUUUUGUAAUUCUUGGUCUUUAUUUUUUCCAGAUAAUUCCGACAGGAAACCAGAACUGUUUGCAAUGAGUCCCCUGCUUCCUCCCAACUCCAAUUUAAAGACAAGUGAGGACUUUCCGGACGUCUGUUUGGCCUCCGAUUUCCGACCCAACGCCAACGCCGGAACGCAUGGUUAUGAGAUACUCUUUGCUGCCUUCAGCAACGAAACCAUGGACUACUGCUCGGCGAACGACGCCUUCAGCAACCACAGGAACGUUGACAUCUGCGAGAACAUUCAUCCAGGUAACGCCACGGUUAACUUUUACCUGCUGAUCAUGAAUGCAGUGAGAGUGGUCCUCACCAAGGUGAUGGUCAUCAGCACUCUCCUGACCAUCAAAGCCCUGGUUCAUUGAUGCAUCUUACUGAGGCAGCGAUGGUGUAGCAGGGGUGUCCAAAUCCAGGACCUCGAGGGCCGGCCUCCUUCUAGUUCUCCAGAAAUCCUGCCUCAUCUGAUCACCUGGAUCAGGUGUGAUUAGCCAAUAAGGGGCUUCAAUGGCAGGUUGGUUGGAAAACAUGUGGGACACUGUCCAGGGGCGGACUUACCAUUAGGCAAUGGUAGGCACAUGCCUGGGGGCCCCAAAACUUUGGGGGCUGCUAGCUGAAGACUUUUUAUAUUAUAUUUUUAAUGGUCAUCAUUAUUUGACUCUGUCACAAUAAAAGGAAAACAUCCCUGAGAUGGUAUAAGACGGCUCAUGUCUAAGUCUUUGAUCCUCCCCCAUAAUUCUGCAGCAGUGGAAUACUCCACCAAGAGCAAUUUAGCUAGCAGAGAGAGACUGUUCAAAGACUUUGAAUAAAUAAAAGAAAAAAUUCAGUCAUGAACCAGCUGUGAAAAAAGGAAAUGGCACAGAGAAAGCAAAACAAUGUGUUGCCACACCUCCAGAAGUGCCAGGAGAAAGAAAGGAACUCAAAGAAAAAGUGUUAUUUUGUUCCAUCAUUCAAAUACUUUAAGGUCUUUUGGCUUCUUCAGUAACGUCUGGCAAAUUAAAGAAAUUACAUACGUUACUGACAUUUUACCCUGGGGAAAUUACUAUAAUCAAAAUACAACCAUUUCAGAGGGCUUUGUUGGAUUGUUCGACCAGGACCCUCAAAAGUCCACCUCUUACACUGGCCCUCGAGGCCUGGAUUUUGACACUCCUGGUGAAGAGGCGGUUGGUUUCUGAUCAAAGUGUUGCAGGUUUAAUUGCUGCCGUCCUGCCCAGGUGCAAGACACUGAAAGUCACAUGGGUUGGUCUCCAUCAGUGUUGUAAAUAUGUGGGUUAAUGGGCUUGUGUCUGUAAAGCACUCUGAGUCUGAGUCAAGGUAGAAAAGUGCUACACAAUUACACACCAUUACCAUCUACUUCCUGCCAAAAAAACAUUUUAAAGCCUCUUUUUAAUAGUAAUUAUGAGUAGAAUGUUUUAGAACAGUUUCUGAAAUGUUUCUUUCUUUGCUUGAUUUUGAUUAAUUUGUUUUAUGAGUCUUUGAAUCAGUGUUUAAUUGCAUCUACAUGUUUUUGUGUUUCAUUCUGACAAGUACUCUAUGACAAUAAAGUGUUUUUUAAUGGAUU
Oryzias javanicus (javanese ricefish) is the source of this 1654-nucleotide long non-coding RNA. Lineage: Eukaryota; Metazoa; Chordata; Actinopteri; Beloniformes; Adrianichthyidae. The record is from Ensembl.